GUUAAACCAGACAGGACAUGACAGUGGUCCGGAGCUCAAAAUGAUAUAUUAAUUGGCUUUUAAGGAUCAUUUAUCUUUUAACUCAUCAUAAUAUAUUAUGUAAUAUCAACCCUAUUAAUCUCACACCGUGGCCUGUGCAUUAGGUCAAUGGUAAUAGGAUUUGUUGUACUAUAAUAAUUUCAUGCACUUCUUUUCCAUUUCAAACUAUAUGAUAAGCCACAAAUGAGGACUUAAUUUUUCCACCUUUGCUGAAGGCACAUAGAACAGAUAGUAAAACAGAUAGUGGA
Molecule: unclassified non-coding RNA, 287 nt
Filed under: Hevea brasiliensis (rubber tree)
Lineage: Eukaryota; Viridiplantae; Streptophyta; Magnoliopsida; Malpighiales; Euphorbiaceae
Source: RNAcentral